GGUCAUUAUUCCAAGUGCAGACUGUUUCCACCAUAUGGUUGGCCAGGUGUGUGUAUUAGGGAGAGAUAAAAUAAUAAAAUGAAGGUGGCUGUUGGACUCCUUAGCAUCCAGGGGCCUCAUCCGCAUUGGUAAAUGUUCAUCUAGUUCGAAUUAGGACCUACAUGGCUACGUUCUGGUGGAAGAGCUCUCAGUUGCAUUGAGCUCCCUGGCAGAAAGAAAUGGCCUGGAGGCUGCUUCCUCUCAGGUGAGAAAGGGUCUUCCAGGACUGUUAGAACAAAAGGCAUCAGGGAAGUACCUCUUAAGCCUGUCCUGUGAAAGUCAAUCCAGCUUCUUGGCUUUCCAGGCAGCCUCACAUUGCCUUGACUAUUACCCCAGUUCAUUAAAUGUUAAUGGGUUAUCAAUAUAGGAAGAGUAAUCCCCUGAAGUCCCUUUAAUAUGUUUUAUUCUUCCUCUCAAAUAAAUGAUUGAUUAACAUCAAUAGGAAUUGUUCAAUAUAUGCUGUCUGCAAGACUCCUUGCUCCUUGAGGCUUUCUCCUGUGGUUUAUAGGCCAGCGCAGACGCCUCGACGAGAUCUUAAAUAGAGAGAGUGGUAAAAGUUUAUGUCAGCUAGUCAGUGAAAUGGAGGUGGGGAAGGAUCUAAUGAGUGCACUGGCUUGAGGAUGAUGGCAUUUUCAUAAAUCACACUGUUCUUUUCCCUCGUGGUCUGUCCUGCUUGUAGAAUCAUAGUAUCUUAGAGAUGGAAAGAGCCUUGAGGUUAUUUUUUCCAGCUUCCCAUUCUUCAAGAAAUUCUUUCCAUAUCCUUCCUGACAGACAGUCAGAUAGCACCUGCCUGUACCUCCAGGGAGGGGCCUUACCUUCCUCCUGAGGCCCCCUUCAGCUCCUCUGCAGUUCUGCAAGUGGAAGAUUUUCCCCGUUCCAUCAGUUCUCGUAGUUCCUGUUCCUUUUCCUCAUGACUCAGGUUAAAGUUGUAAUCUUCCAUUUAUUUGAUUGACUCUCCUAAAAGACUGGGGCCCUUUCCGUUUUAGCUGACCAUUCCACAUGGUGCCUGGCCCAUUGAAGGGACUCAGUGUAUAUUUGUUGAAUGAAUGAAUGAAUGAAUGAAUGAAUGAAUGAAUGAAUGCACUCAAGUUUAGAAAUUCCAAAAAGAACUAGGAAGAGAUUACAUAGCAUGAAAAUGAAAAUAGAGUAUUUUUUUCCCCAGAUACCAGCUUAUCCGCUCCAGAUGACUUUAGGGUAAAUAUGGAGGAAGGAGUGAGGGGAAGCACCCAGGAAAAAGUGAUGGGUUAGGACGGAGCAACAUUCAGAGCAUGGGAAAAACAAAAGGAUCUUGACUUUUAAUGUAGCCUGGUAAAUAUCAUUGAGAUUUGGCAGGACCAAAACUGAGCAUUGGAAAAGGGAUGAUGGAAAAGUCUUCUCUGUGAGGAAAGGGGCCUGCUUGUGGAGAAGAUGAACACCUGCAUGGAGGUUCACAGAAGUGAGAAGGCUGGCCUGGAGGAGAGUACUAGAGUGAGAAGAUGAGCACCUCCAGCCUUGGGUCAGUCACAAAGGAAGGACAGAGGCAGGAAAUAGGAGCAUCUGGACAGGGGACCCUAGCCACCACUCACAGCAGCUCAUCUUCUGGCGGGAGAGGGUUAGCUCCUGCCCAGUGUCCUCACGUACGAGAGUGGUGAGUUUCUAAUGCAUCACCUCUCACCACUCACCCCAAGACAGCUGUUCUUUUGAAUCCUACCUAGAGAAAAAAAAAUCACGACCCACACAAUUCUUGCUCUCUCUCAACCUCCCACAUCUAAUGAGUCACCCAGUUUUGUCACUUCAUCCUUGGGAUGUCUCUUGACAUGCCUUUUCUUCCUUUCCACUAACGUAGCUCAGACACCAGAUUCUCUCUGGGACCAUCACUUGCCAUACACAGCUGAGUCACAUAAAGAGGUUGCCCUUACACACCAGAUCUCUGCUCACUGUUGCCUAAGACACUGCACACUCUGCUUAUAUCCGUUUCUUCUUCCUAAAGAGUCCUUUAGUUCAUCACCUGCUGCUUGCUGGCUGGGUUCUACAUCAUCUUCAAGAUCCUGCUUCUGAGGCCGGGUGCAGUGGCUCACACCUGUAAUCCCAACACUUUGGGAGGCCGAGGCGGGCAGAUCACUUGAGGCCGGGAGUUGGAGACCAGCCUGGCCAACGUGGUGAAACUCAGUCUCUACUAAAAGUACAUGAAUUAGCCGGGCAUGGGGCACAUGCCUGUAAUCCCAGUUACUCUGGAGGCUGAGACACGAGAUUCACUUGCCUAGGAGGCAGAGGUUGCAGGGAGCCGAGAUUGUGCCACUGCACUCCAGCCUGGGUGACAGAGCGAAACUCUGUCUCAAAAAAAAAAAAAAAUAAAAAAUAAAAAA
This 2384-nucleotide long non-coding RNA is filed under the name Macaca fascicularis (crab-eating macaque). RNAcentral describes it as "lncRNA (ENSMFAG00000057807.1)". Lineage: Eukaryota; Metazoa; Chordata; Mammalia; Primates; Cercopithecidae. The record is from RNAcentral.